UACGUAGGGCGCAAGCGUUGUCCGGAAUUAUUGGGCGUAAAGAGCUCGUAGGCGGCUUGUCGCGUCGAUUGUGAAAGCCCGGGGCUUAACUCCGGGUCUGCAGUCGAUACGGGCAGGCUAGAGUGUGGUAGGGGAGAUCGGAAUUCCUGGUGUAGCGGUGAAAUGCGCAGAUAUCAGGAGGAACACCGGUGGCGAAGGCGGGAUCUCUGGGCCGAUACUGACGCUGAGGAGCGAAAGCGUGGGGAGCGAACAGG
RNAcentral lists this ribosomal RNA (254 nucleotides) under uncultured bacterium. RNAcentral's name for it is "partial 16S ribosomal RNA". It matches the Rfam family "Bacterial small subunit ribosomal RNA", at positions 524 to 776 of the family's 1533-position model. The record is from RNAcentral.